Molecule: non-coding RNA, 84 nt
Filed under: Desulfosporosinus sp.
Lineage: Bacteria; Bacillati; Bacillota; Clostridia; Eubacteriales; Desulfitobacteriaceae
Description: c-di-GMP sequence
Rfam family: c-di-GMP-I riboswitch aptamer
About the family: GEMM was predicted in a large-scale screen for bacterial structured RNA regulatory elements. Genes associated with GEMM are involved in a diverse array of functions, including chemotaxis regulation, signal transduction, secretion and chitin.
Source: RNAcentral
UUUGAAAAUGGCAAACUUAGUGAAAACUAAGGACGCAAAGCUAUGGAUCGUACAGGUUGGCUGACGACCGCCAGGUUACUGAUU